CCUACGGGGGGCUGCAGUGGGGGAUAUUGCACAAUGGGGGGAACCCUGAUGCAGCGACGCCGCGUGGGUGAAGAAGCGCCUCGGCGCGUAAAGCCCUGUCAGCAGGGAAGAAAAUGACGGUACCUGAAGAAGAAGCCCCGGCUAACUACGUGCCAGCAGCCGCGGUAAUACGUAGGGGGCAAGCGUUAUCCGGAUUUACUGGGUGGAAAGGGGGCGCUGACGGAGUUGCAGGCCAGGUGGGAAAGCCGGGGGGCAAACCCCGGGACUGCUCUUGGAACUGCGUGGCUGGAGUGCGGGAGGGGUAGGCGGAAUUCCUGGUGUAGCGGUGAAAUGCGUAGAUAUCAGGAGGAACACCGGUGGCGAAGGCGGCCUGCUGGACUGCAACUGACGUUGAGGCACGAAAGCGUGGGGAGCAAACAGGAUUAGAUACCCCAGUAGUC
RNAcentral lists this ribosomal RNA (440 nucleotides) under uncultured bacterium. RNAcentral's name for it is "partial 16S ribosomal RNA". It matches the Rfam family "Bacterial small subunit ribosomal RNA", at positions 338 to 795 of the family's 1533-position model. The record is from RNAcentral.